This 169-nucleotide ribosomal RNA is filed under the name Paraliparis copei (blacksnout seasnail). RNAcentral describes it as "partial small subunit ribosomal RNA". Lineage: Eukaryota; Metazoa; Chordata; Actinopteri; Perciformes; Liparidae. The record is from RNAcentral.
CACCGCGGUUAUACGAGAGGCCCAAGUUGAAAGACACCGGCGUAAAGCGUGGUUAAAUUAAAAUUUAAACUAAAGUUAAACAUCUUCAAGACUGUUAUACGUAUCUGAAGCCGGGAACCUCAAUCACGAAAGUAACUUUAUAUAAACUGAACCCACGAAAGCUAUAACA